Molecule: ribosomal RNA, 254 nt
Filed under: uncultured bacterium
Lineage: Bacteria
Description: partial 16S ribosomal RNA
Rfam family: Bacterial small subunit ribosomal RNA
Source: RNAcentral
UACGUAGGCAGCGAGCGUUGUUCAGAGUUACUGGGCGUAAAGGGUGUGUAGGCGGUUGUUUAAGUUUGGUGUGAAAUCUCCCGGCUCAACUGGGAGGGUGCGCCGAAUACUGAAUGACUUGGAGUGCGGGAGAGGUGAGUGGAAUUCCUGGUGUAGCAGUGAAAUGCGUAGAUAUCAGGAGGAACACCGAUGGCGAAGGCAGGUCUCUGGGCUGACACUGACGCUCAUGCACGAAAGCGUGGGGAGCAAACAGG